GGAAUCAACGCUGGCGGCGUGCCUAACACAUGCAAGUCGAACGAGAAAGUGGAGCAAUCCAUGAGUAAAGUGGCGCACGGGUGAGUAACACGUGACUAACCUACCCUUGAGUGGGGGAUAACCUAGGGAAACCUGGGCUAAUACCGCAUAAUACCUUCGGGUCAAAGGAGCAAUUCGCUUAAGGAGGGGGUCGCGGCCGAUUAGUUAGUUGGCGGGGGUAAUGGCCCACCAAGACUGUGAUCGGUAUCC
Molecule: ribosomal RNA, 249 nt
Filed under: uncultured bacterium
Lineage: Bacteria
Description: partial small subunit ribosomal RNA
Rfam family: Bacterial small subunit ribosomal RNA
Source: RNAcentral